UAGGGAAUCUUCGGCAAUGGACGGAAGUCUGACCGAGCAACGCCGCGUGAGUGAAGAAGGUUUUCGGAUCGUAAAGCUCUGUUGUAAGAGAAGAACGAGUGUGAGAGUGGAAAGUUCACACUGUGACGGUAUCUUACCAGAAAGGGACGGCUAACUACGUGCCAGCAGCCGCGGUAAUACGUAGGUCCCGAGCGUUGUCCGGAUUUAUUGGGCGUAAAGCGAGCGCAGGCGGUUAGAUAAGUCUGAAGUUAAAGGCUGUGGCUUAACCAUAGUACGCUUUGGAAACUGUUUAACUUGAGUGCAAGAGGGGAGAGUGGAAUUCCAUGUGUAGCGGUGAAAUGCGUAGAUAUAUGGAGGAACACCGGUGGCGAAAGCGGCUCUCUGGCUUGUAACUGACGCUGAGGCUCGAAAGCGUGGGGAGCAAACAGGAUUAGAUACCCUGGUAGUCCACGCCGUAAACGAUGAGUGCUAAGUGUUGGAGGGUUUCCGCCCUUCAGUGCUGCAGUUAACGCAUUAAGCACUCCGCCUGGGGAGUACGACCGCAAGGUUG
This 550-nucleotide ribosomal RNA is filed under the name uncultured bacterium. Its description in RNAcentral is "bacterial SSU rRNA". It matches the Rfam family "Bacterial small subunit ribosomal RNA", at positions 355 to 896 of the family's 1533-position model. The record is from RNAcentral.